CAUUGCUCCACCAUGCCCCUGUCCUUUCCCCGCGUGGCAGCAGGAGUCACCCUGUCCCCUUCUCUCCCUGGUGCAGGGACCGCCAAGGACUCAGAGGACAAGGAGGAGGAAUGCAGAUGGCCGAGGAGGAGGUGGCCGUGGACAUGGGAAUGAGGAGGCCGCUCGCAAGAACAUCCGAGAGCAGCUCCAAGGCCGAGAAAAGCCAGUCGAUCGCCCAGUGUCAUCACCCUGCCUGGUGGCUCGGCAGGGUAAUUCCUCAGGUCACCACCCUUUCCAGCCUGCCUUGAGCUUGGAGAAUGAGGAGGAGGGUGAGCGAAAGCUGGCCACCCUGAACAUCUGCCAUCCAUCUCUCCAUCACCUAGAGCAAGAUGGCCAGGCUCCUGAGGAUGUUGAGGAAGAAGGCUCUGCAGGUGGCCCCAGAGCCUGAGGGAAGCAGCUGCCAUCUUCCCCAGGAGCAGAGCGGUCCCUUUGUCCCCUCUGGCGGGGAAGGAGUUCCCGGCCGAGCCAGGAGGUGGAAGCGCCCAGCCUUCUGGCGGAGGAAACCCGCUCCCAGCGCAGGCGGCAAGGUCGGAGAGGCACCAGGCAGGCUGAAAUGGAGCUGUCCCAUGAUGCGGCUGGGCAGGCAGGACUCAACCCAGGAGGGGAGCCGGGCUGGGUGGCUCUGGGGCUUGUUGUGUGGGAAGCACAGGUCCCAGGAGCCCAGCCCGGAUUCCCAGGAGGAGGCAUCGCCCUGCCCGGUCACUGAAAAUUCCAGUUUCCCCAGGGCAGAAGGUGAAGUGUCUCUGUCCCAGCACCAGUAACUCGGCCCGCUCCCCAUGAGACAGCAGCAGCUCCUGGGACUCAGGGAGGGGCGCUGCUGCUUUGUUCCAGGUGAGAAGCUAGGCUGGGCUCAGGAAGGGGUGAGGAGGGGACUGUGAGUAGCCACCCUGGGCCCAGGCACUCGACCACUACUCUGGGGGCGGAUCCCCAGCCGAGGUGUCAGGCCUGAGCCACAUAAUCCCACUGAUACUAGAUGCUGCCACUUUGGUCCUUGAUGCUCCAGGUGGGGGCGGAUGAAGCACCACUCAGGAAGUCCAGGACAGUCUCGGGGGCUCUCUUUGCUUUGGGCUCCUGAAGGAGUUGGGGGCUGAAGGCAUCACUGAGAGGUGGGAGUGUGGGGCCUGAUGCCCCCCGAGUCCUAGAGGUGGAGAGGGGGCACGUUGCCCCACCAUGCCCCUGUCCUUCCUCCGAGUGGAACAGGAGUUACCCUGUCUCCUUCUCUCCCUGGUGCAGGGACCACCAGGGACUCAGAGUAUGAGGAGGAGGAAUGGGUGGACGUGGCCAUGGAGGAGGCUGCUGUCAAGAACACCCAAGAGCAGUUCCAAGGCCAAGAAAAGGUGGAAACAUUCCCCAGCUGUGCUGGAACUGAGAUUGUCCUGCCCCUUCCCAGCACCCUGACUCCCUGCAGAGCGUCUUGUCGCUGAUGAUCCACCAGCCCUAACAGGGACUUUUCUCCAGCAUCAUCUGGGACCCCCACGAUUGGGGUGUUUGUCACACACUAGCCGGGGUCUCCUCCCCCAACAGGCACUGUCCCAGUUCCUGACCCUGCUUGUGUAGGAGUCGUGGGUGAUUUGGAUUACCCCCCAUUCAGGUCUGAGUACUGCAGCUGGUGUGGGUGGGGCAGGGAGGUCCCCGGCUCACUGGCUCUCUCUUCCCUAACCCCACUCCUGGUGGGUGCAGGAGGAGGCUCAGCAGCUCAUGUUCCUGCAUGCCAUCCACCCCACGUGUCUCGCUGCACACAGAGAGAGCAGGACACAUUGAAGCCGCACUGCUGCCAGGCGGCUGUUGUAGAGAUUAUUGUGGUGAGUGAUACACUGCGCCCAGCCGCUGGAGGGAGGACAGAGAUAUGGGAGGGGCAGGGGUCAUCCCAGCCUAAUGGAUGGGGCAUGGUUGGUUCUGGAGGGGCAGCUGAGGCCAGGGAUUGCUGGGGCUGAAGACUGGGGAGAAGAGAUGGGAGAAAUUCUGAGAUUGGUCACUACUGCGUAGGAAUCGGAGGAGCAGGAGGCAGGUGGGGGGAUCUUGCUAGCUGUGUGGGGUGCUGGCUGUGUCAUCUCCUCACUGAGAAGCGUCAGUCAGGCCCAAAUCUCAUGCUCCUUUCUCUCCUCUGGGUCUCACAGGAGCUCAUUGAGGAGCUGCCCGAUAUCUCUCCACCCAGCGCCAUCCUUGCUAACUCCCUGAUUUCUGUGGGCAACCUCAGGUACCGAGACCCUCCCCCCGGUUCCCCGAAUCCCGGUGCUGUUGAGGCCUACGGCUGGGAGUCACUGCCCCUCCCACUCCCCGGUCACCUCCCAAGGGUGACUCCUGUGGCAGAGGUGCUGGGAAGGUUCACUCUCUCCUGGCUGGGCCAUUCUUUUUACUCCAGUUACUUUGCAAUGACUUUGGGGAGAGGCUCACUCCCAAGAUCAGAUAGAGGAGGGGGCAGCAGGGUCCAGGGAACAGGCUCUAUUCCUACCCUGCCACUGUCUGUCUGCUAAACCUUGGCCUUGUCAUUCCCUGGCUCGGUGUCUUCAGUUUCCAUUCUCGUCAACAUGUGGCUAUUUCCCUGCAGUUUCACGUCCGGGUUGGUGCCAGUGCCACCUCCGCACUGCACAGUCUAAUACCAGCUCCUCUCUCUUGCCAGCACCAUGACAGCUGCCCUGGAGCCAGAGCUAGAGACCCACCUCCUUUGAGCUGCUCCGCAUGCUGGCUUAACCCUGGGUACGGAGAAGGACACCACCCACCUCCAGGAUCUGCAUAGGGUCUUGCCAAACCUCAUGGAUGCCAUGCUGGGGAACCUGCUGGUAGAGUCCCCAGACACCUACAGGCUCCACGACAUCUUGGAGAACGCAGCAGAAUUCCCCAGGAUGGGUCACCAUGUGGCAGAGCUGGUUCUGUUCAUCAGUGACCCAGCCAAGGACAUGAGCCGGCAGGCCAGGAGGGAGUUUACCGGCUCUACCAGAUGCUGCUGUACCAGAGGGGCACGCAGCGAGGACUCUGCCCACUGUGCAGCCACCAAUGGGUUUGGAAGGACACACGCACUGCAACCAGAAUGACAAAUGUGGGUGUGUGUCUCUUUCCCGGGGAUGACCAUCCAUGAGGCUGAAGACCUGUGGUGCUGGGACUGGCACCAGGACAGCAGGCUUCUGGGCUACAGGAACACAGCCAGGGUCGGGGAGUGACGUGGGGUUAAGGGACAUGGAGGAAAAGACAAGGAGGCUGUGACCAAAGUUAGAGUAGCGAGGCCAGGAUAAGCGGGGCUAGGUCCCAGGACUGGCUAUCAGAAGACCUGCCGUUUUCUAUUCCUGCAUUUGGGCUUAGGAGUGAGUCUCUUCACUGCUGGGUGCCUCGGUUUCCCCAACUAUCAAAUAGAGCUAAUCAAGGUUUUGUUGGUUCUCCCCAUUUUAGAGGGUGGGAAACCGAGAGGCCGUUGGGACCUGUCUACACUACAGGCCUGUAGUGCAUUUGUAAGCUGCUGACCCACACAUGUUUUUCAGAGCCAAUGGACAACACAGGUCUGAAAGGUGUGUUUGUUCUGUGCUUCUCCCCUAUGUACCAGCAGAGCUGGACGGCCUUUUCUCACUGUGCUGUGGGGAGCAGGUCCUGGGUACUAAGGCUCUGAAGAAGCUCUCAAGGACUAAUUUUUUAAAAUAAUUUUUAUCAGUGAUUUGGGAGCAAACAUACAAUCCCUGCUGAGAAGACUGCUGGGUGACAAAAUACUGGCAGCGUGGUAAUUACUGAUGAGGAGAGGGCAAUGAUACAGAGGGAUCUGGCUCAUUUGGUAAACUGGACCCAUACAAAGCAAAGAAAUGUGAGCAGAGCCAAAUGCAAGGUCCUAUAGCUAGCAACAAGGCAUGCCGGUCACACCUCCAGAAUGGGGAAGUGUGUCCAGGAAACAGUGACUCUGAAAGGGUUUUCGGGGCCAUAGUGGAGAAGCCCAUCAACAUGAGCUUCCAGUGUGAUGCUGUGGUGAACAGGCUAAAGGCACCAUUAGACGUAGGAGCAGAGCCGUGAGCAGGAUAGGGAGGUGACAAAGCAUCAGUAAGCCCUGGUCCACACUAGGAGUUGAGAUCGAAUUUAGCAGCGUUAAAUCGAUUUAACCCUGCACCUGUCCACACGACGAAGCCCUUUUUUUCGACUUAAAGGGCUCUUAAAAUCGAUUUCCUUACUCCACCCCCGACAAGGGGAUU
Long non-coding RNA from Chelonia mydas (Green sea turtle), 4205 nucleotides. RefSeq lists it as uncharacterized. The transcript is spliced from 7 exons. NCBI's taxonomy places the organism in Eukaryota, Metazoa, Chordata, Testudines, Cheloniidae. The record is from RefSeq and is a predicted model, not a curated record.